Molecule: long non-coding RNA, 1763 nt
Organism: Gasterosteus aculeatus aculeatus (three-spined stickleback)
Lineage: Eukaryota; Metazoa; Chordata; Actinopteri; Perciformes; Gasterosteidae
Source: Ensembl
ACAAGGUACAUUGAGUUAUGCUUCGGAGGACAUCGGUUCGGCUGGGAUUUUGUCAUGGCUAAAGUCGCUUUUCCCCUCCUUGGCGCUGAUUUUUUGUGUGCGCAUGGACUGUUGGUGGAUGUUAAGAACCGCCGUUUGAUCAACGCUGUCACAUUCUGCUCUUAUACGUGCACGCUCAGCGGGGCUGACUCCAUACGACUGUCUAGCAUGCUCUCCCCAUCAGACGACUUCCGCCGUCUACUGGCUGGUUUUCCAGAACUCACCCAGCCCACUUUCUCUGCAUCUGCCGUGAAGCAUGGUGUGGAACACCAUAUCGCCACCACUGGUCCGCCCGUCUACGCCCGUGCUCGGCGCCUCGACCCGACCAAGCUUGCCGUUGCUAAGGCCGAGUUUUCUAACAUGGAAUGCCUUGGAAUAGUCCGCCGGUCCGCCAGCCCGUGGGCGUCACCUCUUCACAUCGUCCCCAAACCUGGUGGCGGCUGGCGCCCAUGCGGCGACUACCGGCGGCUUAAUGAUGCAACGACGCCUGACCGAUACCCAGUCCCGAACAUACAGGAUUUUUCAGCACACCUGGCUGGUAUGGGGAUUUUUUCUAAGGUGGACCUCGUCCGGAGCUACCAUCAGGUGCCCAUGCACUCACUGGACAUUUCAAAAACAGCGUUCAGAAGAAUAAGCUCAUCAUUACUGGUCUGUCAAAGGUCUGGCAAAAACUUUUACAUGAACAAGCGGAUUGUAGAGGGGAUUUUAUGAAAUCAACUAACAGGUUGAUAAGACAUUUCAACUUUUAGUUUCGCUGAACUACUUUCUUUUUAAGUGUAACACUUGAGUCAAGGAUUUAAAAUGAUGAAAAUUUUAGAUAAAAAUGAUUAGAACAAAUAGAAAUAAACAUGAAAACUAAUUCAGCACAGCAAAUUUGUUUCAGGGAAAAACACAGCGCGCUUAUUUGGACGAAUGUAUGGAAAAGGGAGAACCACACCAGUGUGAAUAUAAGGUGGAACUGGAAGCAAAAGUGCGAACAGACUUAAAAGGCACACCACUGAUACACUCUGAUUGGCAAUUGAUCACUGAUGGCAGCUGCUUUAGACAUCCACAGAAGGGGUUGCAGUCGGGAUACGCGGUAGUCAGAAGCCAUGGGGCAGGGACAGAGGUUCUGGAAGCAGAAAGGAUCCAGGGAAGUCAGUCAGCUCAAAGAGCUGAGGUACUCGCAUUGAUAAGAGCAUUACAGCUGGCAGAAGAGAAGGAAGUAAACAUCUAUACUGACUCGGCGUAUGCAGUAGGAGCAGCUCAUAUGGAGCUGGGACAGUGGUUAAGAGCAGGUUUUCUGACGGCUGAAGGAAAACCGAUUAUCUGGCGGCAGCCUUGGCUCUACCGAGCACCGUGGCUAUUAUUAAGUGCAAAGGACACGAGAACUCCAACAGUAUGGUGGCCAAGGGAAACCCGGCAGCAGACCAAGCUGCAAAACAGGUUUCACCCCAUACGAACUGACCACUGGGAGACAGUUCCCUGGACCCAGUGCCAGCCUGAAGCUUAGGCCCAACCCGGAAGCUCCGCCAGGUGAGUAUGCAAGUCAUUAUAACAAUCUACGAGCUCUCGUUUCAGAUUUUGCUGACCAGGUGUGAGACAAAACAGGGGAUCAGAAUGCCCACAACACCCACACAGCAUCCUGGGUCCUCCUGAGGGUCAUUAAGAGAAGUGGUCAGAGCCGCGGUGGACAGGACCGUACCAGGUGGAGGAAAGAACCUCACAUGCAGUGAGGCUGAGAG